AUUUCCUUUUCACACAUAAAACUCCUGAUAAGAGAAGAAAUUCAGAUUUUUGCAUAUGAACUAAUGAUAGAGGUGAAGAUUCAAAGAAUUAAAGGCUUGUGUUAGCUUGCUUAAAAUCAGAUUUUUUUUUUUCUUAAGGAAAGUAAUUGUCAGACUUGUUAGGUAGCAAAAACAUUUUGAACUCUCCUGGCACCAAAAGUGUUUGAAGUUCACUUUUCUGUGGAAUACCUUUGCAAUUAGUUGAGGAAGAUUAACUAGUUACAUUGACACUUAUUUGCCCUUAGAGAUCAGCUAGCUAAUUUAUACUUAUUCAUUACUCACUUGUUCACUGCUUAAAAAAAAAAAAAAAGUUUUGGAAUAGUCUGUAAGACCUCAAGCCCAUUGAUGUUAUUAUUAAAAAUCAUAUUUUAAUAUACUUUAAAGCAAAGUGAUAACGUAUAACAUGCAUAGCUCAGUCAUUCAUUCAUCAGAUAUUUAUUGAACACUUGCCAUAUACCAAGCACUGUUCUGUACUCUAGGAUUAUAUCAGCACACAGAACAGGCAAAAUUGCUUACCCUUAUGGAGUUCACAUUGUAAGGUUACACUGGAAAUAAAAUGAUGUAUAGGACAAACAUGGUCUCUACAAGGUCUAGAUGGAAAUACCCAGGUAUUUAAAGUCUAGCUAGAAAUAAAGGCCAUUGGGGGAUGGGCCAGAUGGCAAGUGGAAAGGUAGAAGUGUAGGUUCCUGCAAGGGACAUCUAACUGUGACUCAGGUGGGUCUAGCAAAGUUUCACAAAUGAAAUUAUUUUAGUGGAAAUAAUUUAGGUGAAGAAAGGGGCAGGGACAACAAAUAUUCAGACAAAGGAAGAACACGCAUGUAAAAAGGCCAGGGAAAAAGAGUAGUGUGGCAAGUUCAGGGAACUGACACUAGUUCGUUCUGGCUAGAGUGUACAUGGUGUUUGAGUUAAGGAAUGGGAUGGUAGAUGAGGCUAGAUGAGUGAAGCAGGGUCAUGUCACCAAUGUCCUGUAAAGUAAGUAAUAGUAAGGAGUUUGAGAUUUAUAUAGUGAGAAACCAUUAAAGCAGGGAGUGGGUGAUACGUAAUAUUUGAAGGAAAAAUAUCAAGAGAAGAUAAUUUUAAGGAAUAAGGUGGGGUUUUUUUAAGUGGAUUCAAUAUUCUUCUCUGCGUAAUCCUUUAAAACUGGGUUUAGAACAAUAUUAGGCACAUCCACAAAACCAAUUUAGAUCUUAAAAAUGAAUCGUGGUCUGAUACCAUUGGUUAUUCCAAUAGGAUUUAGAGAAGAUUUACACUUCUGUAUAUUUAAAGUUUUGUUAGUGGUGUUAAAUACCUGAAAGCAGAACACCACUUUAUCCCCACAUCGUCACAACUAUUUUAAGCCCAAGAAGCCUUAGUACUUUCUUUUCACUGUGUCCUGAUACAGCAGAGGGGUUGCUGUUGUUACCAGCUAUACUUGCACUCUGCUUAAAGCCAUACAAAUGCUUGGAACUCUUCCCCAAACAAAAUGCUAGUUAUUGCACUUUAGGGUAAGCUCAGACAUUACCGUGAAAUGAGUGCUGCUGUUCUGGGGAAGAAAGCCUGCCCUCAAAGAAUUAGAUUACUGGUAAGGACCAGUGAUAGAGAGUGGGGGGGGGCGGGAAGAGUUUAAAGUCUUUAAUGUUGCAGGUUAUGCUUUUUAAGAGUGUAUAGAAGUAUUCAGUUGCAGAACUUGACAAAUCAUCCAAUUCCAUGCUAAUUCAGAAGCUAUUUCUGAGAAGUAGAACCAGGUUAUAAUAGCAGUGUUAGUAGCAGUAGUAGUAACUGAAAACAGUAGUCAUUUAGGAAGGGCUCUACUUGUCCCCAGGCACUCCUCUAGACACCUCAUAUGUAAUGUUACAGUCCUCAUACCUGUGAGGGUGGGUACCAUUAUCCACAUUUUACAAAUGAGGAAACAGAAGCACUAGUCACAAGGCUAGCAAAUGUAUUUUAUUUUUAAAUAAUUAGAAGGUUUUAAUACAUCAAGCUACAGUAGCAGAAAGUCUAUAGUUUUUAAAAUAUCAAUAAAAGUUCUUAGAAGGUAAAAAUGGUCUUUCAGGGUUUUUGUUGUUGUUUGGUUGGAGGGAUGGGGGUUGGGUGUUUUUCUUUUUACCAUUAAUUCCCCCAAAGUGACAUAGGUAGAGGUCAGUGGUGAACAAAGGUUAAUUAUACUAGUAAAUUUGAAAGUAAAAUUCCAUAGUUAGAGGCUUUAAAAACACGUGUGUAUAAACACACUGAUGUGGGGAAAGAGAGGUUUUUUUUUGUUUUUAAUCUUCAGAAAUGUGUAUAUUUAACCACUGCUGAGGAACUGAGUUCACUGAGCAAGAGAUGCUAAGAAAUGUGUUCCUAACUUUAUAGUAAAACCUGAAUUAGAAAUUAGUUCUUUUUGUCAUUAAAACCCUAUUAUCUAUCAGAGAAACAUUUGCUUUUAAUUUUU
Molecule: long non-coding RNA, 2449 nt
Organism: Leopardus geoffroyi (Geoffroy's cat)
Lineage: Eukaryota; Metazoa; Chordata; Mammalia; Carnivora; Felidae
Exons: 2
Source: RefSeq, a predicted model, not a curated record